AGUUAAUGGUUCCUUCUUCCGCCGUGAGACUGAUAGUGGGUU
RNAcentral lists this small RNA (42 nucleotides) under Arabidopsis thaliana (thale cress). RNAcentral's name for it is "ATSL308500". Lineage: Eukaryota; Viridiplantae; Streptophyta; Magnoliopsida; Brassicales; Brassicaceae. The record is from RNAcentral.